RNAcentral lists this ribosomal RNA (890 nucleotides) under bacterium UASWS0081. RNAcentral's name for it is "bacterial SSU rRNA". It matches the Rfam family "Bacterial small subunit ribosomal RNA", at positions 30 to 912 of the family's 1533-position model. The record is from RNAcentral.
UGAACGCUGGCGGCAGGCUUAACACAUGUCAAGUCGAGCGGGGGUAGGUUGCUUCGGUAACUGACCUAGCGGCGGACGGGUGAGUAAUGCUUAGGAAUCUGCCUAUUAGUGGGGGACAACAUUCCGAAAGGGAUGCUAAUACCGCAUACGCCCUACGGGGGAAAGCAGGGGAUCUUCGGACCUUGCGCUAAUAGAUGAGCCUAAGUCGGAUUAGCUAGUUGGUGGGGUAAAGGCCUACCAAGGCGACGAUCUGUAGCGGGUCUGAGAGGAUGAUCCGCCACAGUGGGACUGACACGCGGCCCAGACUCCUACUGGAGGCAUCAGUGGGGAAUAUUGGACAAUGGGCGCAAGCCUGAUCCAGCCAUGCCGCGUGUGUGAAGAAGGCCUUUUGGUUGUAAAGCACUUUAAGCGAGGAGGAGGCUCCUUUAGUUAAUACCUAAAGAGAGUGGACGUUACUCGCAGAAUAAGCACCGGCUAACUCUGUGCCAGCAGCCGCGGUAAUACAGAGGGUGCGAGCGUUAAUCGGAUUUACUGGGCGUAAAGCGUGCGUAGGCGGCUUUUUAAGUCGGAUGUGAAAUCCCUGAGCUUAACUUAGGAAUUGCAUUCGAUACUGGAAAGCUAGAGUAUGGGAGAGGAUGGUAGAAUUCCAGGUGUAGCGGUGAAAUGCGUAGAGAUCUGGAGGAAUACCGAUGGCGAAGGCAGCCAUCUGGCCUAAUACUGACGCUGAGGUACGAAAGCAUGGGGAGCAAACAGGAUUAGAUACCCUGGUAGUCCAUGCCGUAAACGAUGUCUACUAGCCGUUGGGGCCUUUGAGGCUUUAGUGGCGCAGCUAACGCGAUAAGUAGACCGCCUGGGGAGUACGGUCGCAAGACUAAAACUCAAAUGAAUUG